RNAcentral lists this ribosomal RNA (497 nucleotides) under uncultured bacterium. RNAcentral describes it as "partial 16S ribosomal RNA". It matches the Rfam family "Bacterial small subunit ribosomal RNA", at positions 28 to 507 of the family's 1533-position model. The record is from RNAcentral.
GAUGAACGCUGGCGGCGUGCCUAAUACAUGCAAGUCGAGCGAACAGACGAGGAGCUUGCUCCUCUGACGUUAGCGGCGGACGGGUGAGUAACACGUGGAUAACCUACCUAUAAGACUGGGAUAACUUCGGGAAACCGGAGCUAAUACCGGAUAAUAUAUUUAACCGCAUGGUUCAAUAGUGAAUGACGGUUUUGCUGUCACUUAUAGAUGUAUCCGCGCCGCAUUGGCUGGUUGGUAAGGUAACGGCUUACCAAGGCAACGAUGCGUAGCCGACCUGAGAGGGUGAUCGGCCACACUGGAACUGAGACACGGUCCAGAGUCCUACGGGAGGCCGCAGUAGGGAAUCUUCCGCAAUGGGCGGAAGCCUGACGGAGCAACGCCGGGUGAGUGAUGAAGGUCUUCGGAUCGUAAAACUCUGUUAUUAGGGAAGAACAAAUGUGUAAGUAACUAUGCACGUCUUGACGGUACCUAAUCAGAAAGCCACGGCUAACUACGUG